UACAGAGGUCUCAAGCGUUGUUCAGAUUCAUUGGGCGUAAAGGGUGCGUAGGUGGCGCGCUAAGUCGGGUGUGAAAUUUCGGAGCUUAACUCCGAAACUGCAUUCGAUACUGGCGUGCUUGAGGACUGGAGAGGAGACUGGAAUUCAUGGUGUAGCAGUGAAAUGCGUAGAGAUCAUGAGGAAGACCAGUGGCGAAGGCGGGUCUCUGGACAGUUACUGACACUGAGGCACGAAGGCCAGGGGAGCAAACGGG
Molecule: ribosomal RNA, 253 nt
Filed under: uncultured bacterium
Lineage: Bacteria
Description: partial 16S ribosomal RNA
Rfam family: Bacterial small subunit ribosomal RNA
Source: RNAcentral